UACGUAGGUGGCAAGCGUUGUCCGGAUUUACUGGGUGUAAAGGGCGUGUAGCCGGGCUGACAAGUCUGAUGUGAAAUCCCGUGGCUCAACCACGGAACUGCAUUUGAAACUGUCGGUCUUGAGUAUCGGAGAGGCAGGCGGAAUUCCUAGUGUAGCGGUGAAAUGCGUAGAUAUUAGGAGGAACACCAGUGGCGAAGGCGGCCUGCUGGACUGAAACUGACGCUGAGGCUCGAAAGCGUGGGGAGCAAACAGG
RNAcentral lists this ribosomal RNA (253 nucleotides) under uncultured bacterium. Its description in RNAcentral is "partial 16S ribosomal RNA". It matches the Rfam family "Bacterial small subunit ribosomal RNA", at positions 524 to 776 of the family's 1533-position model. The record is from RNAcentral.